UAAGGCUUAAAAAUUAUUAAUUUUUAUCUCCUGAAUGCAACUCAAGCACUUUUAUUAAGCUAAAGCCUUU
Molecule: transfer RNA, 70 nt
Filed under: Anolis ortonii
Lineage: Eukaryota; Metazoa; Chordata; Lepidosauria; Squamata; Anolidae
Description: tRNA-Ala
Source: RNAcentral